RNAcentral lists this ribosomal RNA (594 nucleotides) under Oscheius tipulae. RNAcentral describes it as "SSU rRNA". It matches the Rfam family "Eukaryotic small subunit ribosomal RNA", at positions 575 to 1188 of the family's 1831-position model. Lineage: Eukaryota; Metazoa; Nematoda; Chromadorea; Rhabditida; Rhabditidae. The record is from RNAcentral.
CGCGGUAAUUCCAGCUCCAUUAGUGUACAUCGAUAUUGCUGCGGUUAAAAAGCUCGUAGUUUGAUCUGGGUUGCAUGCGUUGAUACUCCUUUGGAGGUUAUCUUCGCUGCAGCUAAACUGCUGGUUAUCUGCAGGUGUUUUCGGACCCUGUAGCGGCUAGCGAGAUUACUAACACAAAAUCAAAUAGCUUAGAUAAGGCGUCUGCCUGAAUGUUCUAUGCUGGAAUAAUGGAAAAGGACUUCGGUCUUGUUUAUUGGUUCUUAGUUCGAAGUAAUGAUUAAUAGAGACGAUUCGGGGCUGUUCGUAUCAUUACGCGAGGGGUGAAAUCCGUUGACCGUAGUGAGACGUCCAAAAGCGAAAGCAUUCAGCAAGAACGUCUUCAUUAAUCAAGAACGAAAGUCAGAGGUUCGAAGGCGAUUAGAUACCGCCCUAGUUCUGACCGUAAACUAUGCCAUCUAGCGAUCCGAUGGGGUAAUUUGCCUUGUCGGGGAGCUUACCGGAAACGAAAGUCUUUCGGUUCCGGGGGUAGUAUGGUUGCAAAGCUGAAACUUAAAGAAAUUGACGGAAGGGCACCACCAGGAGUGGAGCCUGCGG